AUUGAACGCUGGCGGCAUGCCUUACACAUGCAAGUCGAACGGCAGCGGACCUUCGGGUGCCGGCGAGUGGCGAACGGGUGAGUAAUAUAUCGGAACGUACCUUUCAGUGGGGGAUAACGUAGCGAAAGUUACGCUAAUACCGCAUAUUCUGUGAGCAGGAAAGCAGGGGAUCGCAAGACCUUGCGCUGAUUGAGCGGCCGAUAUCAGAUUAGCUAGUUGGUGAGGUAAAGGCUCACCAAGGCGACGAUCUGUAGCGGGUCUGAGAGGAUGAUCCGCCACACUGGAACUGAGACACGGUCCAGACUCCUACGGGAGGCAGCAGUGGGGAAUAUUGCGCAAUGGGCGAAAGCCUGACGCAGCCAUGCCGCGUGUGUGAAGAAGGCCCUUGGGUUGUAAAGCACUUUCAAUUGGGAAGAAGGUUAGCGUGUUAAUAGCACGUAGCUGUGACGUUACCUUUAGAAGAAGCACCGGCUAACUCCGUGCCA
RNAcentral lists this ribosomal RNA (485 nucleotides) under uncultured bacterium. RNAcentral describes it as "bacterial SSU rRNA". It matches the Rfam family "Bacterial small subunit ribosomal RNA", at positions 30 to 510 of the family's 1533-position model. The record is from RNAcentral.